UACGUAGGGCGCGAGCGUUGUCCGGAUUUAUUGGGCGUAAAGCGCGUGUAGGCGGCCAGAUAGGUCUGCUGUGAAAACUCGAGGCUCAACCUCGAGCUGUCGGCGGAAACCAUCUGGCUAGAGUCCGGAAGAGGAGAGUGGAAUUCCUGGUGUAGCGGUGAAAUGCGCAGAUAUCAGGAAGAACACCUAUGGCGAAGGCAGCUCUCUGGACGGCAACUGACGCUGAGGCGCGAAAGCGUGGGGAGCAAACAGG
This 253-nucleotide ribosomal RNA is filed under the name uncultured bacterium. RNAcentral describes it as "partial 16S ribosomal RNA". It matches the Rfam family "Bacterial small subunit ribosomal RNA", at positions 524 to 776 of the family's 1533-position model. The record is from RNAcentral.